AGAGUUUGAUCAUGGCUCAGAUUGAACGCUGGCGGCAGGCCUAACACAUGCAAGUCGAACGGUAACAGGAAGCAGCUUGCUGCUUCGCUGACGAGUGGCGGACGGGUGAGUAAUGUCUGGGAAGCUGCCUGAUGGAGGGGGAUAACUACUGGAAACGGUAGCUAAUACCGCAUAAUGUCGCAAGACCAAAGAGGGGGACCUUCGGGCCUCUUGCCAUCGGAUGUGCCCAGAUGGGAUUAGCUUGUUGGUGGGGUAACGGCUCACCAAGGCGACGAUCCCUAGCUGGUCUGAGAGGAUGACCAGCCACACUGGAACUGAGACACGGUCCAGACUCCUACGGGAGGCAGCAGUGGGGAAUAUUGCACAAUGGGCGCAAGCCUGAUGCAGCCAUGCCGCGUGUAUGAAGAAGGCCUUCGGGUUGUAAAGUACUUUCAGCGGGGAGGAAGGGAGUAAAGUUAAUACCUUUGCUCAUUGACGUUACCCGCAGAAGAAGCACCGGCUAACUCCGUGCCAGCAGCCGCGGUAAUACGGAGGGUGCAAGCGUUAAUCGGAAUUACUGGGCGUAAAGCGCACGCAGGCGGUUUGUUAAGUCAGAUGUGAAAUCCCCGGGCUCAACCUGGGAACUGCAUCUGAUACUGGCAAGCUUGAGUCUCGUAGAGGGGGGUAGAAUUCCAGGUGUAGCGGUGAAAUGCGUAGAGAUCUGGAGGAAUACCGGUGGCGAAGGCGGCCCCCUGGACGAAGACUGACGCUCAGGUGCGAAAGCGUGGGGAGCAAACAGGAUUAGAUACCCUGGUAGUCCACGCCGUAAACGAUGUCGACUUGGAGGUUGUGCCCUUGAGGCGUGGCUUCCGGAGCUAACGCGUUAAGUCGACCGCCUGGGGAGUACGGCCGCAAGGUUAAAACUCAAAUGAAUUGACGGGGGCCCGCACAAGCGGUGGAGCAUGUGGUUUAAUUCGAUGCAACGCGAAGAACCUUACCUGGUCUUGACAUCCACGGAAGUUUUCAGAGAUGAGAAUGUGCCUUCGGGAACCGUGAGACAGGUGCUGCAUGGCUGUCGUCAGCUCGUGUUGUGAAAUGUUGGGUUAAGUCCCGCAACGAGCGCAACCCUUAUCCUUUGUUGCCAGCGGUCCGGCCGGGAACUCAAAGGAGACUGCCAGUGAUAAACUGGAGGAAGGUGGGGAUGACGUCAAGUCAUCAUGGCCCCUUACGACCAGGGCUACACACGUGCUACAAUGGCGCAUACAAAGAGAAGCGACCUCGCGAGAGCAAGCGGACCUCAUAAAGUGCGUCGUAGUCCGGAUUGGAGUCUGCAACUCGACUCCAUGAAGUCGGAAUCGCUAGUAAUCGUGGAUCAGAAUGCCACGGUGAAUACGUUCCCGGGCCUUGUACACACCGCCCGUCACACCAUGGGAGUGGGUUGCAAAAGAAGUAGGUAGCUUAACCUUCGGGAGGGCGCUUACCACUUUGUGAUUCAUGACUGGGGUGAAGUCGAAACAAGGUAACCGUAGGGGAACCUGCGGUUG
This 1523-nucleotide ribosomal RNA is filed under the name metagenome. RNAcentral describes it as "bacterial SSU rRNA". It matches the Rfam family "Bacterial small subunit ribosomal RNA". The record is from RNAcentral.